UACGGGGGGGGCAAGCGUUGUCCGGAUUUAUUGGGCGUAAAGAGCGUGUAGGCGGCCAGGUAGGUCAGCUGUGAAAACUCGAGGCUCAACCUCGAGAUGUCGGCUGAAACCAUCUGGCUAGAGUCCGGAAGAGGAGAAUGGAAUUCCCGGUGUAGCGGUGAAAUGCGCAGAUAUCGGGAAGAACACCCGUGGCGAAGGCGGUUCUCUGGGACGGUACUGACGCUGAGACGCGAAAGCGUGGGGAGCGAACAGG
Molecule: ribosomal RNA, 253 nt
Filed under: uncultured bacterium
Lineage: Bacteria
Description: partial 16S ribosomal RNA
Rfam family: Bacterial small subunit ribosomal RNA
Source: RNAcentral